RNAcentral lists this non-coding RNA (26 nucleotides) under Homo sapiens (human). Lineage: Eukaryota; Metazoa; Chordata; Mammalia; Primates; Hominidae. The record is from RNAcentral.
UCUAGGGAAGGGACAGUUCAUGUAGA